UUGCGCUAUCAGAUGAGCCUAGGUCGGAUUAGCUAGUUGGUGAGGUAAUGGCUCACCAAGGCGACGAUCCGUAACUGGUCGGAGAGGAUGAUCAGUCACACUGGAACUGAGACACGGUCCACACUCCUACGGGAGGCAGCAGUGGGGAAUAUUGGACAAUGGGCGAAAGCCUGAUCCAGCCAUGCCGCGUGUGUGAAGAAGGUCUUCGGAUUGUAAAGCACUUUAAGUUGGGAGGAAGGGCAGUUACCUAAUACGUGAUUGUUUUGACGUUACCGACAGAAUAAGCACCGGCUAACUCUGUGCCAGCAGCCGCGGUAAUACAGAGGGUGCAAGCGUUAAUCGGAAUUACUGGGCGUAAAGCGCGCGUAGGUGGUUUGUUAAGUUGGAUGUGAAAUCCCCGGGCUCAACCUGGGAACUGCAUUCAAAACUGACUGACUAGAGUAUGGUAGAGGGUGGUGGAAUUUCCUGUGUAGCGGUGAAAUGCGUAGAUAUAGGAAGGAACACCAGUGGCGAAGGCGACCACCUGGACUAAUACUGACACUGAGGUGCGAAAGCGUGGGGAGCAAACAGGAUUAGAUACCCU
Molecule: ribosomal RNA, 583 nt
Filed under: Pseudomonas sp. Hp2
Lineage: Bacteria; Pseudomonadati; Pseudomonadota; Gammaproteobacteria; Pseudomonadales; Pseudomonadaceae
Description: bacterial SSU rRNA
Rfam family: Bacterial small subunit ribosomal RNA
Source: RNAcentral